Caretta caretta (loggerhead turtle) is the source of this 5580-nucleotide non-coding RNA. The record is from RefSeq and is a predicted model, not a curated record. NCBI's taxonomy places the organism in Eukaryota, Metazoa, Chordata, Testudines, Cheloniidae.
GUCGGAGGGGGGAGGCGGAGCCGGGCUGGGCUCGCGCGGGGCCGGGGAGCGGUUGGGGCCGUUGGAGCUCUGGGCAUGCGCAGAUUGCGGGGGCGGGGGGGCGGCGCGAGACCUUCGUUAACCCCCCCGUGCCCGGCCCGGGCCCCGCUCCCGCCGGAGCCGCCCUGGGGCCGCCCCGGGCUCCGCCCGCCCCGCUGCGGCGCUGCAGCCUCCAGGCUACAGAAUAACAUCCAGGUUUCACUCCAGAUCAUCCCGUCCUCCCAGGGGGAAGGAAAUGGCUGCAAUGGAGCUGGCUCAGGGUUUCCAGUUUCCAAACCUGAUGUGAUCUCGCAGCUGGAAGGAGGGGAAGAGCCGUGGGUCCCAGACCUCCAGGGCUCUGAGAAAGAAGUGCUCCCGAGAGCUGCCUGCACAGGGAGUGACCUGUGUCUGGAUUCUCUCUGUCUUCCAUCAGGUGACAAGAUGGUGAGUGAGAAUGAGGAGGAGACACCCCAGAAGGAAGAUGCUGAGGAAGUAGAACCACAUGGGAUGUUAUCAGGAAGAUCCAAAGGGAAUGGUUCCAGGAGUUGUGCACUCCCAGAAAAAGCAAAAGCCUGUGAGACUCGGCAGAGGCCAGAGGAAAACUUCAGUAGCCACACAGACCUUAUUACAUGCGAGAGAAUCAACUUGGAAGAGACACGCUACGCAUGCCAUGAGUGUGGGAAAAGCUUCAGUGGGACCUCUGACCUUCUCACACAUCAGAAACUCCACAGUGGAGAGAGACCAUUCAUGUGCUCUGAGUGUGGGAAAAGCUUCAAUAGGAGCUCCAGCCUCAUCAGCCAUCAGCAAAUCCACACAGGAGAGAUGCCCUACACAUGCUCUGAGUGUGGGAAAAGCUUCAAUCAGAGAUCUUCCCUGAUCACACAUCAGAGAAUCCACACAGGAGAUAUGCCCUACUCCUGCUCUGAGUGCGGGAAAAGCUUCUAUCGGAGCUCGACCUUUACCCGACAUCAGCGAAUCCACACGGGUGAGAAACCCUACACAUGCUCUGAGUGUGGGAAACGCUUCAAUGAUAGCUCAUCCCUUAGCACACAUCAGAGAAUCCACACGGGUGACAAGAUGGUGAGUGAGAAUGAGGAGGAGACACCCCAGCAGGAAGAUGCUGAGGAAGUAGAACCACAUGGAACGUUAUCAGGAGGAUCCAAAGGGAAUGUUUCCGGGAGUUGUGCACUCCCAGAAAAAGCAAAAGCCUGUGAGACUCAGCAGAGGCCAGAGGAAAACUUGAGUAGCCACUCAGACCUUAUUACACAUGAGAGAAUCAACUUGGAAGAGACACGCUACGCAUGCCAUGAGUGUGGGAAAAGCUUCAAUGGGACCUCUGACCUUCUCACACAUCAGAAACUCCACAGUGGAGAGAGACCAUUCAUGUGCUCUGAGUGUGGGAAAAGCUUCAAUAGGAGCUCCAGCCUCAUCAGCCAUCAGCAAAUCCACACAGGAGAGAUGCCCUACACAUGCUCUGAGUGUGGGAAAAGCUUCAAUCAGAGAUCUUCCCUGAUCACACAUCAGAGAAUCCAUACAGGGGAGAUGCCCUACUCCUGCUCUGAGUGCGGGAAAAGCUUCAAUCUUAGCUCAACCCUUAGCACACAUCAGAGAGUCCAUAUGGGGGCGGAACCUUCUGGAUGCUCUGAGUGUGGGAAAAGCUUCAAUCACAGCUCUACCCUGAGGACACAUAGGAGAAUCCACACAGGAGAGAUGCCCUACACCUGCUCUCAGUGCGGGAAAAGCUGCAGUCAGAGCUCAAACCUUAUCACACAUCAGAAAAUCCAUAUGAGAGAGAAUUGUAAUAAAUGCCUUGACUAGGGCUGGCUAAAGAUUUUUUUUUUUAAUCACGUUUGCUAAUUCCCACAUAGUGAUCUUUGCACCAUCUUCACCAUGAUUUCUCAGUUUCACCAGAUGAGUGGCCUGCUUCUGCCUUUUCAGCUCACCCUUCUUUGGGGUUGGUCCUGUCAUCUUUUCUGUCAGCUCCUUUCCUUCUGAAUCAUAGUUGUGUGUGUUCCUCCAGCCAGGAAUGUUCAUCAUCUCCAGGUGGGAGAGAGAGGUUUGAUCCCCACAAGCUACACUGAGGCAACAAAGUACCCGUCCCUUACUUCCACUAGGGGUGUACAUGGCAUUGGCUGCUCAAGUGAGUGAUCUUGGUGUGAAAAGACAAUUAUAGUGGUAGAGCAGAUGCAGCCCAGGUGCAGUGUUUGGCAUUAGCUUUCCCCUUGACCUGACCUAAACUCCAUCACUUUUCCUAGUCUAAACAAACCCUGAGCAUCACGGUUAUACAGUUCCCCCAUUUCAAAGCAAUUGUUAGUCAUUUAUUUCUCCCUUUGGGGGCAAAUUGUCUCCUUCCCAGUUGCUCUGAUGUUGCUUCGGGUUGCGUUGGAGAGCAGAUAUCUUUACUACCAUUUUCCUCGUUUGAAAUAUAUUGAACUAUAACAAAGAGCAGGAACAGAGCUAGGGGAAAAUGUCAUUUACCCUCUGAAUCAGAGGGAUUUCCUGCUUCCCCCUCACCAUCACUGUGCUCCCUCAGCCCAGUAGCUUUAGCUUCUGUGUCAACCACAAUAGAGUUUAUCCUCCCCAUACGCUAUCCCCCCACGUCCCAUGCCACAUGAUGCAGUGUUCCCUGUGCUCUGUGCUAGGAACCACACUUUGAGUCUCAAUCAGUCUUCUUGGGGCUGGGGAUUCAAGUGUCACAGAGCUGGAGGGGAAAUCUGAGUGGAUCCCAAACACAGGGUAUUCAUUCCAUCCCUGUUUCUAUCUAUUUGCAAAGCUGCUUCUGAACUUUUCCCUGCUGAUCUGGAAGUUUUGUUUGGCUGUUUUUGACCUGUUAGGGUGAUGGGAAAUGUCUUGUAAAUAACAUGACUUAAUAAUAAUAAUAAGGUGAUGUUGCAUGAAGAAGAUUUGAAUACAUCAGAGGAAAAUGCAGUGCACGAUUCUGUUCUUAUUUUGAGUCAUCAGAUGUAACCUGCUCUGGAAUGUGAUUUUAUAUGAAACUGAAAGUGUCUUAAUUACUCCUGGAGGAAUUCUGCACCACUGUACACGUGCAGACAGAAUUCCCACAGGCAUAUCUUACUCUCCUCAAUGUUGCAGGUUUCUCUCUCUUUCCUGAAUGCCAUUUGGUUACAUAAUUGCAUAUUCAUUCUAUUUGGAAGCCUGUUACUCAGAUUUGCUUGGGACUUUGAGACAAGAGACCAUUUGCUAAAACAGUCAUUUCUUCUUAUGUUUUUUUCUUUCCCUCACCCCGCCAGGGUGCCCUGGGGGAAGCUCAAGUGCAGUUAGGUCGUCAGGAGUGAAUGCUGCACUCUGUUGGACAUGCUACCAAGGAGACAAUAGCACUUCUAAUUUCCAUUCUGAAAUGGUGAAGACCAGCAAAUCACAAAUUGUGGAAAUAACUGCAUGCAAUCACACUGUUGUUCAGUUGGUUAAGUCAAUGCUUUGUCUAAAGGGCUGGGAAGAGGAUUCCCUAGUAAGUGACUUGUAACUAAGCAAAACACCCAGGCAUUUGGCUCCCAAAGCAGUGGUGGCCCACACCCUGCAAGAGGCUGCUCCUGAAGAUCUCUCCUUCUUAAUCAGGUGAAUUUUGCCUGUUAUUUUGGAAAUGCAAUCUGUGUCUAGGUAGAAAGAGAUAAAAUGGAUGAUAUUUCAGUUGAGUUCACCAUGGGAUAUAAGGCAAAUGUAUAGAAAAUCAAAUCCAUGUUGAAUGUGAUAGAGCUGCAGAAAGGUACCUAUUUUUAAUAGAUACCUGACAUUUGGUGUCUUACAGGGAUUCUGAGCCACACCUGUAUCUGUUCCCUAACUUAAAUGUGUGCCAUCAGAUUAAAGAAAGAAAUGGGCAUAUAUGUGGGAGUUAUACCUCACUAUUUCAACUUUACAUGCAGUGUUGAUCACAGUGAGCACAGUUUUGAAGUCAAAACAGGAGUAUGUCAGGGGUGUGUCAUAUCUGCAAUCCUCUUCAACAUUGCCAUCGACUGGGUAAUGUGAUGUACAACAGAAGACAUGCCAAAAGGCAUUAACCUUCUCAUCCCUUGAAGACCUGGACUUCGCAGAUCAUCUUGUUCGCCUAUCACAUACCCAACACUGUAUACAGGAAAAAACAAUGUGGCUCAAUGCAUUCAGCCAGGAAAUUGGACUGAAAAUCAACCACAAUAAGAUGGAUAUCAUGACCUUUAAUAUUGCCUCACCAUCACCAGUACAGAUAGAGGAUCAUGUUCUCCCCAAUGUAGAAACAUUCACAUACUUGGGCAGCACCAUCAGUCAGGACCAUGGCGCAAGCCAGGACAUCCGGAACAAAAUCACGAAAGCCAGGAACACAUUCAGGAGCUUAAAUACAGUCUGGAAAUUAUCAAAAUACAACACCAAAACCAAACUCCAUAUCUGUCAGAGCUGUGUACUUUCAACCUUACUUUAUAGUGCAGAAUGCAGGGGAAUGAGAAAGUAUGACAUGUCCAAACUGUCUUCAUUCCAAACAACCUGGCUCAGAAAAAUCCUCCAUAUCUUUUGUCCUUGAACAAUCUCAAACCAAGAUCUAUUGACACAGUGCAGCCAAGAGGAUCUGAGCACCAUCAUUCCCAGGAGGCGUUGGAGAUAGAUUGGCCAUGUGCUUUGGAAGGAAACUGAUUCCAUCACCAGAAUAGCAAUAAGAUGGACACCUGAUGCAAGCAAGAAUGAGGCUGCCCAAAAACAACAUAGCGAAGAGCUGUGGAAGUUGAGCUGAAAAACCUGGGGCACAGCUGGGGAACUAUUGAAAGACUUACCAGAAACAGAGAGGAGUGGAGGAGCUUCCUUUGGAGCCAUUCCAUGCCCAUGGGUCCCAAUCUGGCUGCCUUGUUGGACAAGAAGCACUUCCAUGCUGGGCAAAUGAUGGUAGCCAAUGAGGGAAUGUAUCAGAUUCCAAGGUCAGACUUUGCCCGAUACAUGAAUCCUAAGUCCAGAAUCUGUGGUUUGGCCUCUUAGUUUUCUAUUAAGUCUAAUGCAAUUGUAUCAUUUCUCCUCCUGCUGCUACUUCGAAAGAUUAGAAAGUGUGAAAAUAGAGCACAGGUGGUUUUUCGUCAUGAUGCAGCCUUCCCACGUAGUGUGAGACCCCCUUCCACCCACACUUACGGGAGAAGACCCAGGGAGAAAUGAACUCUCAGAAGUGGAAGGCUCCUAGCUUAUGGUAGAAUGUGACUUCACACAAAGCUCACUGGGUGGAAAUGGGAAUCAAGAGAAAACUGUCCUAUAGGUUUAUAUUUUGUAAUCGUUGAGUAAGUUGUUACCAGCAACAAUGAAAUUAAACAUGAAGUUAAUUAGUGUAAAGUAAGAGGCAGAUUAUGUGAUAACCUGAAUUAUAUUGUAACCCUCAAAGUUUCCUUCUUGUUCUCUCCCUGUCCCCUCCUACUACAUUGGAAAUAGUGGCUAAUCCUGAAAUUAAAACCUCGCUCCAAAGGAAUUAGAGCGGGGGAAUAUGUGAGAGAAAUAGCAUGUACAAGAAUAGAGACCCAAUAUAGACUGUAAUUAUUUAUUUUUCAAAUGGAAUUUAUUUUGAUAAGCUUUAAAAUAAAUCUGUUGAGAGGAAAAUUA